Molecule: long non-coding RNA, 470 nt
Filed under: Mytilus galloprovincialis (Mediterranean mussel)
Lineage: Eukaryota; Metazoa; Mollusca; Bivalvia; Mytilida; Mytilidae
Source: RNAcentral
UUUUAAUUUUGCAAUAUUUUAUUUUAGUAUAUUAAAUGUAAGUUGUCUAUGUAUUUGCUAGUAAUUGGUUAAUAGAUGGAACACACACAUUUUAGUUUCAACUACUUUUUUGGCCCUGCCAUGACUGUUACUGAAGCUUAUAUACCUUUUUCACUUUGUUCAUUUGUCUUUAUAUUUAUUUUGGAAUUAGUUUAUUUCAGUUAGAUGCAUCAUUCAGAAACAUAAAGUUAUGAUUAUUCCAGUAUACCAACCCUCUUUGAUAGUGCUAUGCUAUACAUUACAGUCCCAUUCUGUAGAACAACACUUCUAAGCAACAUUUGUUUCACUAGGACUUACCUUUUGUACUUGUGUUUUGCAUAAGGGCCCAUCUGUCUGAAACUUAUGGGAAUAUAUAUUUUAUAGUAAAGUGCUAUUGAGUUUUUUCCAUUUUAACCAUCUUUUCAAUAUAUGUCUUCACAAAAUAAAGGGAC